RNAcentral lists this ribosomal RNA (484 nucleotides) under uncultured bacterium. Its description in RNAcentral is "partial 16S ribosomal RNA". It matches the Rfam family "Bacterial small subunit ribosomal RNA", at positions 30 to 507 of the family's 1533-position model. The record is from RNAcentral.
AUUGAACGCUGGCGGCAGGCCUAACACAUGCAAGUCGAGCGGAUGAAGGGAGCUUGCUCCUGGAUUCAGCGGCGGACGGGUGAGUAAUGCCUAGGAAUCUGCCUGGUAGUGGGGGAUAACGUCCGGAAACGGGCGCUAAUACCGCAUACGUCCUGAGGGAGAAAGUGGGGGAUCUUCGAACCUCACGCUAUCAGAUGAGCCUAGGUCGGAUUAGCUAGUUGGUGGGGUAAAGGCCUACCAAGGCGACGAUCCGUAACUGGUCCGAGAGGAUGAUCAGUCACACUGGAACUGAGACACGGUCCAGACUCCUACGGGAGGCAGCAGUGGGGAAUAUUGGACAAUGGGCGAAAGCCUGAUCCAGCCAUGCCGCGUGUGUGAAGAAGGUCUUCGGAUUGUAAAGCACUUUAAGUUGGGAGGAAGGGCAGUAAGUUAAUACCUUGCUGUUUUGACGUUACCAACAGAAUAAGCACCGGCUAACUUCGUG